Molecule: non-coding RNA, 266 nt
Organism: Peromyscus maniculatus bairdii (prairie deer mouse)
Lineage: Eukaryota; Metazoa; Chordata; Mammalia; Rodentia; Cricetidae
Source: RefSeq, a predicted model, not a curated record
CCUCCUUCCAGUUUCUCUUUUCCCUUCGUAUACUUCCAAUGAGUGGUGUUCCUCUCCAAAUGCUGACUCAGGACAUCCUUAUUGAUAUAUCGGUGUAAGAAAACCAGUCUCCAUCUUCUGAAGAGUGAACAGAAAGAGGUUGGUGCCCAAUGGCUCCAUUUGACUCCCCGUGGCCUCUUCCUCUCAUAAUUUCUUCUAUGAACCACACAAACUGUACCUGAGCCUGGAAUCUCUUCUUCUCUCAGUGGUCUCCACACCUGUUAUCA